GUCCUCGUACUCCAACGGCAGAGAGAGUGGUCUCAAACACCACACAGUGUGGGUUCGAAUCCCACCGAGGACA
This 73-nucleotide transfer RNA is filed under the name Actinoplanes friuliensis DSM 7358. RNAcentral describes it as "tRNA-Leu (CAA) (tRNA-Leu-CAA-1-1)". It matches the Rfam family "tRNA". From Rfam's summary of the family: Transfer RNA (tRNA) molecules are approximately 80 nucleotides in length. Their secondary structure includes four short double-helical elements and three loops (D, anti-codon, and T loops). The record is from Rfam by way of RNAcentral. Lineage: Bacteria; Bacillati; Actinomycetota; Actinomycetes; Micromonosporales; Micromonosporaceae. RNAcentral also lists the same sequence under 1 other name.